CUUAGCAGGGGAUAACAUUUGGAAACAAGUGCUAAUACCGUAUAAUACCAACAACCGCAUGGUUGUUGAUUGAAAGAUGGUUCUGCUAUCACUAAGAGAUGGACCCGCGGUGCAUUAGCUAGUUGGUAAGGUAACGGCUUACCAAGGCGAUGAUGCAUAGCCGAGUGGAGAGACUGAUCGGCCACAAUGGGACUGAGACACGGCCCAUACUCCUACGGGAGGCAGCAGUAGGGAAUCUUCCACAAUGGGCGCAAGCCUGAUGGAGCAACGCCGCGUGUGUGAUGAAGGGUUUCGGCUCGUAAAACACUGUUAUAAGAGAAGAACGGCACUGAGAGUAACUGUUCAGUGUGUGACGGUAUCUUACCAGAAAGGAACGGCUAAAUACGUGCCAGCAGCCGCGGUAAUACGUAUGUUCCAAGCGUUAUCCGGAUUUAUUGGGCGUAAAGCGAGCGCAGACGGUUAUUUAAGUCUGAAGUGAAAGCCCUCAGCUCAACUGAGGAAUGGCUUUGGAAACUGGAUGACUUGAGUGCAGUAGAGGAAAGUGGAACUCCAUGUGUAGCGGUGAAAUGCGUAGAUAUAUGGAAGAACACCAGUGGCGAAGGCGGCUUUCUGGACUGUAACUGACGUUGAU
RNAcentral lists this ribosomal RNA (631 nucleotides) under uncultured bacterium. RNAcentral's name for it is "bacterial SSU rRNA". It matches the Rfam family "Bacterial small subunit ribosomal RNA", at positions 132 to 750 of the family's 1533-position model. The record is from RNAcentral.